CAGUAGGGAUCUUCCACAAUGGACGAAAGUCUGAUGGAGCAACGCCGCGUGAGUGAAGAAGGUUUUCGGAUCGUAAAACUCUGUUGUUGGAGAAGAAUGUAUCUGAUAGUAACUGAUCAGGUAGUGACGGUAUCCAACCAGAAAGCCACGGCUAACUACGUGCCAGCAGCCGCGGUAAUACGUAGGUGGCAAGCGUUGUCCGGAUUUAUUGGGCGUAAAGCGAGCGCAGGCGGUUUCUUAAGUCUGAUGUGAAAGCCUUCGGCUCAACCGAAGAAGUGCAUCGGAAACUGGGAAACUUGAGUGCAGAAGAGGACAGUGGAACUCCAUGUGUAGCGGUGAAAUGCGUAGAUAUAUGGAAGAACACCAGUGGCGAAGGCGGCUGUCUGGUCUGUAACUGACGCUGAGGCUCGAAAGCAUGGGUAGCAAACAGGAUUAGAUACCCUGGUAGUCCAUGCCGUAAACGAUGAGUGCUAGGUGUUGGAGGGUUUCCGCCCUUCAGUGCCGCAGCUAACGCAUUAAGCACUCCGCCUGGGGAGUACGACCGCAAGGUUGAAACUCAAAGGAAUUGACGGGGCCCGCC
Molecule: ribosomal RNA, 580 nt
Filed under: Lactobacillus sp.
Lineage: Bacteria; Bacillati; Bacillota; Bacilli; Lactobacillales; Lactobacillaceae
Description: bacterial SSU rRNA
Rfam family: Bacterial small subunit ribosomal RNA
Source: RNAcentral